CAUUACAACAGCCAUAGUUUAUUGGAUGUUUACGUUCCUACAUGGACACCUGCGGUAAUUCUGGAGCUAAUACAUGCACAAGCCGACGACCUUACGGAAGUCGCGCAUUUGUUAGAUCAAACCAAUCGGUCCUCCGGGACCGUAAUUUGAUGACUCUGAACAACUUAGCUGACCGCACAGUCUCGUACUGGCGGCAUAUCUUUCAAGUGUCUGCCUUAUCAACUUUCGUUGGUAGUUUAUACGACUACCAAGGUUGUAACGGGUAACGGAGAAUAAGGGUUCGACUCCGGAGAGGGAGCCUGAGAAACGGCUACCACAUCCAAGGAAGGCAGCAGGCGCGCAAAUUACCCACUCGCAGAACGCGGAGGUAGUGACGAAAAAUAACGAGGUGGCUCUCUAUGAGGUCCAUCAUCGGAAUGGGUACAAUUUAAAUCCUUUAACGAGGAUCUAUUGGAGGGCAAGUCUGGUGCCAGCAGCCGCGGUAAUUCCAGCUCCAAUAGCGUAUACUAAAGUUGUUGCGGUUAAAAAGCUCGUAGUUGGAUCUGCGCUCUGUGAGAGCGGUCGCUCGCUGAGUUGUACUGUCUCUCACGGGCUAACCAUUCGGUUUUCCCUUGAUGCUCUUCAUUGAGUGUCCUGGGUGACCGAAACGUUUACUUUGAAAAAAUUAGAGUGCUCAAAGCAGGCGAUUUGCCCGAAUAUUCGUGCAUGGAAUAAUAAAAGAGGUCCUUGUAGCCUUUUAUUGGUUAUCGCUACGAGGAAAUGAUCGAAGGGGACAGACGGGGGCAUUUGUAUUGCGACGUUAGAGGUGAAAUUCUUGGAUCGUCGCAAGACAAACUACUGCGAAAGCAUUUGCCAAGAAUGUUUUCAUCAAUC
RNAcentral lists this ribosomal RNA (873 nucleotides) under Trichodorus obtusus. RNAcentral describes it as "SSU rRNA". It matches the Rfam family "Eukaryotic small subunit ribosomal RNA", at positions 99 to 978 of the family's 1831-position model. Lineage: Eukaryota; Metazoa; Nematoda; Enoplea; Triplonchida; Trichodoridae. The record is from RNAcentral.